This is a long non-coding RNA of Apodemus sylvaticus (European woodmouse), 870 nucleotides long. RefSeq lists it as uncharacterized. NCBI's taxonomy places the organism in Eukaryota, Metazoa, Chordata, Mammalia, Rodentia, Muridae. The transcript has 3 exons. The record is from RefSeq and is a predicted model, not a curated record.
UCCACCUGGUGCCUCCUAGUGUCUGCCCUCCUUUGUCAUGGUGGCCCAGCUGUCAGUGACAGAAAAGGAUAGUGAGUGGCUUGGCCCGGACCAGUCAGUCCGCAGACCACAGCCUUGCGGAGGGGAUAGAGAGUUUUUGUUGCUGGCACAGUUUUCAUUUUUCUACAAAUGCAGAAGUCAUGAGAAGCGAGCCCAGGCCACACAACGCCUAUCAUUCGGAGCCUGCGAAAGAGCAACUCUUCCAUUUCCUAGUGAGCACGCGGAGGAAGGAGACAGGCACCCUGGGCCAGCUCCUCCUAUGGGCCAGCUGUGGUCGGCUGGCGCCCUCUGAAUCUAUCAUCGAUGAGGAAAAGACAAGGAACUACGGGCUACCGUUGUGUAGGACUGUUCUCCAGGGAAACUGGCGGCAUCUUCAGGAGUUUGGGCCACAUGUAUGCCGGCGCCAUGGAGGCCAGAGAAGGCAUCAGGUCCCCCUGGAGCUGGAGUGAGUUUCAGUGAGCUUGCCACGUUCUCCAGAGUCCCCGUGCUGCAUCCUUGUCACCCUCACCAUUGUCACCCUCACCUGGAGACCUGGAGAAAUGGCUCAGAGGUUAGCACUGUCUGCUCUUCCAGGAGUCCCGAGUUCAAUUCUCAGCAACCACAUGGUGGUUCAUAACCAUCUAUAAUGAGAUCUGGUGCCCUCUUCUGGCCUGCAGGCAUAAUGUGGGCAGAACACUGUAUACAUAAUAAGUAAAUCUUUAAAAAAAUAUAUAGAACUCUUAUUAACCUCUAAGAGGUUGUCGUUUCUCUUUAUGUUCAUAAAUGGUGAUAACACUUGCAAAAGACACUUACAGCUCAUUCUUCAUUGUCUUUCUGAUAUCUUCCAAAUGA